Anas platyrhynchos (mallard) is the source of this 1110-nucleotide long non-coding RNA. RefSeq lists it as uncharacterized. The record is from RefSeq and is a predicted model, not a curated record. Lineage: Eukaryota; Metazoa; Chordata; Aves; Anseriformes; Anatidae.
CCUCCAUCCCCUCCCCUGUUCUUUGGGGGAAUUGAGAGAAACCCCUGAGGAGACAGCCGUGCUGCUCCCGUGACUUAAAAAUCAGAAAGCAAUGCAUGUGUUGCAGAAGAAGCUGUGCUGGCCACAGAAGAAGUAUUGCACAUUUUCUGCCAGCAUUUCUCCAGCAAGACAUCAGACCUUUACAGAAGGAGCUGAAAGAAGGCUCACCCACUGCAGUCUCACUCAGGCUCCCUCAUCUCUCAACAAGAUCCAUGCGGUAGGAAAUUUGGAAAAGAGGGACUGCAGCAGGGACUACAUUAAGUGGAGCUGUGUUGCUGGCAGUUUGGAAAAGGCUUCCCUUUGCCCAGGCUUCCCAUCUCUUGUCUGUUUGCUCUCCGCAGACAUUCGAAGGAUGGAGUCUGGCUUGCAUGAGUGCCUGUGGAAAACCCAUUUGAAGUUUGCACGCUUGAAUACUGCCAUAUAGCAGAAGUGCUGGGCUGAGAUGACAAAGCUCUACCAGAGUCUCAAGCUUCAACCUGCCUAAUGAGGGACAAAAUCUUUCAUCCACCACUGCUGCCACCAUUUCUCUUCAUUGUGUGCUCUGCAAUUAGUACAUUUAACAGGGACACUGCUGAACGCAGCACAGUCCCAGUUCCUCAGGACAUUUUCCUGGAGCACAGGCACCCUGGCAGUUGGAUGUGGGUCUGAUUGUACCAUUGGCAGACCAGCCCAUGGCUGCAGGUGCUGCUAUUUCAAGUGAAGGUAAUAAAAAGAAGAUUGCAUUUCAGCCCUGCUCAUACACAGCUCACAGUACAACCACUUUUCCGGGGCUGAAGCUUUGAGCAAACAUCCUCCAGUAGAAUAAAGCCUGUCAAAAGCAGCCCAAAGUGCUUUUCCCAAUGACAAAAUUUGCACUGAUGCAGAUGGAGGAAAAACCCAAUCCUGUGUGAUGUCGCUUGUGAUGAACUCAGCCCUUUUCUGAACAGACAGGUUGAAAUACUUGUAACAGACCCUUCACAGUCCAUCUAACCUGUUAGAAAAGGAGAAAGAUAAUAAAUUGGACAACUAAAUUUGAAUUACAAAUAAAUUAGAGGAAGCCACAAUCAAGGUACUGACAUCCAGUAAGUGGGG